RNAcentral lists this ribosomal RNA (526 nucleotides) under uncultured bacterium. RNAcentral's name for it is "partial 16S ribosomal RNA". It matches the Rfam family "Bacterial small subunit ribosomal RNA", at positions 355 to 873 of the family's 1533-position model. The record is from RNAcentral.
UAGGGAAUCUUCCACAAUGGACGCAAGUCUGAUGGAGCAACGCCGCGUGAGUGAAGAAGGUUUUCGGACCGUAAAGCUCUGUUGUUGGUGAAGAAGGAUAGAGGUAGUAACUGGCCUUUAUUUGACGGUAAUCAACCAGAAAGUCACGGCUAACUACGUGCCAGCAGCCGCGGUAAUACGUAGGUGGCAAGCGUUGUCCGGAUUUAUUGGGCGUAAAGCGAGCGCAGGCGGAAGAAUAAGUCUGAUGUGAAAGCCCUCGGCUUAACCGAGGAAUUGCAUCGGAAACUGUUUUCUUGAGUGCAGAAGAGGAGAGUAGAACUCCAUGUGUAGCGGUGGAAUGCGUAGAUAUAUGGAAGAAUACCAGUGGCGAAGGCGGCUCUCUGGUCUGCAACUGACGCUGAGGCUCGAAAGCAUGGGUAGCGAACAGGAUUAGAUACCCUGGUAGUCCAUGCCGUAAACGAUGAGUGCUAAGUGUUGGGAGGCUUCCGCCUCUCAGUGCUGCAGCUAACGCAUUAAGCACUCCGCC